AGCGAACGCUGGCGGCAGGCCUAACACAUGCAAGUCGAGCGCCCCGCAAGGGGAGCGGCAGACGGGAGAGUAACACGUGGGAACGUACCCUUUGGUUCGGAACAACCCAGGGAAACUUGGGCUAAUACCGAAUAAGCCCUUACGGGGAAAGAUUUAUCGCCGAAGGAUCGGCCCGCGGCUGAUUAGCUAGUUGGUCAGGUAACGGCUCACCAAGGCGACGAUCAGUAGCUGGUCUGAGAGGAUGAUCAGCCUCACUGGGACUGAGACACGGCCAAGACGCCUCCGGGAGGCAGCAGUGGGGAAUAUUGGACAAUGGGCGCAAGCCUGAUCCAGCCAUGCCGCGUGGGUGAUGAAGGCCCUAGGGUUGUAAACCUCUUUCAGCAGGGACGAAGCGCAAGUGACGGUACCUGCAGAAGAAGCACCGGCCAACUACGUGCCAGCAGCCGCAGUAA
Molecule: ribosomal RNA, 452 nt
Filed under: uncultured bacterium
Lineage: Bacteria
Description: partial 16S ribosomal RNA
Rfam family: Bacterial small subunit ribosomal RNA
Source: RNAcentral